GCGAGUGUGGCGGAAUUGGCAGACGCGUAAGUUUCAGGUACUUAUAUGUUUAACGCAUGUGCAGGUUCAAGUCCUGUCACUCGCACCA
Molecule: transfer RNA, 88 nt
Filed under: Bacillota bacterium
Lineage: Bacteria; Bacillati; Bacillota
Description: Firmicutes bacterium (gut metagenome) tRNA-Leu
Rfam family: tRNA
About the family: Transfer RNA (tRNA) molecules are approximately 80 nucleotides in length. Their secondary structure includes four short double-helical elements and three loops (D, anti-codon, and T loops). Further hydrogen bonds mediate the characteristic L-shaped molecular structure. tRNAs have two regions of fundamental functional importance: the anti-codon, which is responsible for specific mRNA codon recognition, and the 3' end, to which the tRNAs corresponding amino acid is attached (by aminoacyl-tRNA synthetases). tRNAs cope with the degeneracy of the genetic code in two manners: having more than one tRNA (with a specific anti-codon) for a particular amino acid; and 'wobble' base-pairing, i.e. permitting non-standard base-pairing at the 3rd anti-codon position.
Source: RNAcentral